AGCCCAGAGCCUGAAUCAGUGUGUGUGUUAGUGGAAGCGUCUGGAAAGGCGCGCGAUACAGGGUGACAGCCCCGUACACAAAAAUGCACAUACUGUGAGCUCGAUGAGUAGGGCGGGACACGUGGUAUCCUGUCUGAAUAUGGGGGGACCAUCCUCCAAGGCUAAAUACUCCUGACUGACCGAUAGUGAACCAGUACCGUGAGGGAAAGGCGAAAAGAACCCCGGCGAGGGGAGUGAAAAAGAACCUGAAACCGUGUACGUACAAGCAGUGGGAGCCUCUUAAUGGGGUGACUGCGUACCUUUUGUAUAAUGGGUCAGCGACUUAUAUUCUGUAGCAAGGUUAACCGAAUAGGGGAGCCGAAGGGAAACCGAGUCUUAACUGGGCGUUAAGUUGCAGGGUAUAGACCCGAAACCCGGUGAUCUAGCCAUGGGCAGGUUGAAGGUUGGGUAACACUAACUGGAGGACCGAACCGACUAAUGUUGAAAAAUUAGCGGAUGACUUGUGGCUGGGGGUGAAAGGCCAAUCAAACCGGGAGAUAGCUGGUUCUCCCCGAAAGCUAUUUAGGUAGCGCCUCGUGAAUUCAUCUCCGGGGGUAGAGCACUGUUUCGGCAAGGGGGUCAUCCCGACUUACCAACCCGAUGCAAACUGCGAAUACCGGAGAAUGUUAUCACGGGAGACACACGGCGGGUGCUAACGUCCGUCGUGAAGAGGGAAACAACCCAGACCGCCAGCUAAGGUCCCAAAGUCAUGGUUAAGUGGGAAACGAUGUGGGAAGGCCCAGACAGCCAGGAUGUUGGCUUAGAAGCAGCCAUCAUUUAAAGAAAGCGUAAUAGCUCACUGGUCGAGUCGGCCUGCGCGGAAGAUGUAACGGGGCUAAACCAUGCACCGAAGCUGCGGCAGCGACACUAAGUGUUGUUGGGUAGGGGAGCGUUCUGUAAGCCUGUGAAGGUGUACUGUGAGGUAUGCUGGAGGUAUCAGAAGUGCGAAUGCUGACAUAAGUAACGAUAAAGCGGGUGAAAAGCCCGCUCGCCGGAAGACCAAGGGUUCCUGUCCAACGUUAAUCGGGGCAGGGUGAGUCGACCCCUAAGGCGAGGCCGAAAGGCGUAGUCGAUGGGAAACAGGUUAAUAUUCCUGUACUUGGUGUUACUGCGAAGGGGGGACGGAGAAGGCUAUGUUGGCCGGGCGACGGUUGUCCCGGUUUAAGCGUGUAGGCUGGUUUUCCAGGCAAAUCCGGAAAAUCAAGGCUGAGGCGUGAUGACGAGGCACUACGGUGCUGAAGCAACAAAUGCCCUGCUUCCAGGAAAAGCCUCUAAGCAUCAGGUAACAUCAAAUCGUACCCCAAACCGACACAGGUGGUCAGGUAGAGAAUACCAAGGCGCUUGAGAGAACUCGGGUGAAGGA
RNAcentral lists this ribosomal RNA (1402 nucleotides) under Escherichia coli. RNAcentral's name for it is "partial 23S ribosomal RNA". It matches the Rfam family "Bacterial large subunit ribosomal RNA", at positions 296 to 1711 of the family's 2925-position model. Lineage: Bacteria; Pseudomonadati; Pseudomonadota; Gammaproteobacteria; Enterobacterales; Enterobacteriaceae. The record is from RNAcentral.